UUCGGAUUGGAGUCUGCAACCCGACUCCAUGAAGCUGGAUUCGCUAGUAAUCGCGCAUCAGCCACGGCGCGGUGAAUACGUUCCCGGGCCUUGUACACACCGCCCGUCAAGCCAUGGAAGCCGGGAGUGCCUGAAGUGCGUGAGCGCAAGCAGCGCCCUAAGGUAAAACCGGUGACUGGGGCUAAGUCGUAACAAGGUAGC
RNAcentral lists this ribosomal RNA (201 nucleotides) under uncultured bacterium. RNAcentral describes it as "partial 16S ribosomal RNA". It matches the Rfam family "Bacterial small subunit ribosomal RNA", at positions 1292 to 1500 of the family's 1533-position model. The record is from RNAcentral.